GUUAGGAAUAUUCGUCAAUGGGGGAAACCCUGAACGAGCAAUGCCGCGUGAAGGAUGACGGUCCUAUGGAUUGUAAACUUCUGUUGUUAGGGAAGAACGACCUGUGUAGGAAAUGAAUAGGAAUGACGGUACCUUUCAAGAAAGCUCCGGCUAACUACGUGCCAGCAGCCGCGGUAAUACGUAGGGAGCAAGCGUUAUCCGGAUUUAUUGGGUGUAAAGGGUGCGUAGGCGGUUUGAUAGGUCUGUGGUUUAAGUCCGAAGCUUAACUUCGGUUCGCCAUAGAAACCGUCAAACUUGAGUAUGGUAGAGGCAAGUGGAAUUUCUAGUGUAGCGGUAAAAUGCGUAGAUAUUAGAAGGAACACCAGUGGCGAAGGCGACUUGCUGGGCCAUUACUGACGCUGAGGCACGAAAGCGUGGGGAGCAAAUAGGAUUAGAAACCCUAGUAGUCC
This 449-nucleotide ribosomal RNA is filed under the name uncultured bacterium. RNAcentral describes it as "bacterial SSU rRNA". It matches the Rfam family "Bacterial small subunit ribosomal RNA", at positions 354 to 796 of the family's 1533-position model. The record is from RNAcentral.